RNAcentral lists this long non-coding RNA (9147 nucleotides) under Solanum tuberosum (potato). Its description in RNAcentral is "long non-coding RNA (STUB_LNC003536)". Lineage: Eukaryota; Viridiplantae; Streptophyta; Magnoliopsida; Solanales; Solanaceae. The record is from RNAcentral.
UUUUUGCAAAUAACUUUUUGCCCUUUUCGCUUCCUUGUUUGAUUUACUGCUUCUUCCUCUUUGUUUUUUCCUUUUGAAUUUGACAUGGUUCCGAAUAAUAUUUUGCUACAUUUUCUGUAUGCAUGUAUUACUGUUUACUCCUUUUGAUCCAGUUGUAAUAAUUUCGGGUGAAGAUUGAUGAACCAAAGGUGUUCGAUGAUAUGCCUGAAACAACUAAAUCAUUAAGUAAGAUUCUUACUGCGGCUGCUGGAUUUGCUUGCAACAACACAGGUUGCUAUUUGUGAAUUUCGACGAACAAUAGGAAAACAAAAGGUGUUGCUUUCUUACCUAGCCUGCUUUCCUUUCUUGCUUUCAUGAUCCUUUCUUCAGUCUUCAGAGGUUCUCUUUCGCGAACAAACAAAAAGCUAGAGUUAAUCUUUUCAAUUAUGCAUUUUUGGCUUGAGAUGUUUAUGUUUCUGCAUCGCCUGAUUUUUCUUCUGUAAAUUCUUCGUGCUGCAGAAUCUUUUUUUAUUUGCCUUUAAUUCGAUCAUGUUGGAUGACUUCUGUUCUUCCGAGUUAGUUCCUUUCUGCAAGAGCUUUAAUUUAUUGAGUUACUGAUGACUUCUUUUCUUCCGAGUUAGUUCCUUUCUGCAAGAACUUUAAUUUAUUGAGUUGCUCAAGCAAUUGACAAAACGUAGGAGCUGCAAUAUUAGAACCCUCAAAACUUCAUAUAAAGUAUAAAAAAUGCUAACCAACAAAAAAUAGAAGGGGGAAAAAGGAUCCUCUUCUGACACAGAAAACCCCAAAUAUGUAUUCCAUAAUAGUAUUGAGGUGUGGGAUAAAGAAACUACCUAUUUCCAACUUGAGUUCUUCAUUGUAUUUCAGUAACAGUUUGCUUGGAGGUUUACGUUUGUAACAAUAUAGUGACAAGUUUGUACUCUAUAGGUAAGACAUAUAGUUCCUGGUUUUACCGGUUAUACUUACUUCAACUUAAAAUUACAUAGUAGGUACGUGUAGUAAUGAAAAGAAGUUCAGUGUGGAGUUGACGAAGUUUUUCUCUUUAUAGGUUGUUAUUUUAGGUGACGAUAAACUACUCUCUGGUUCUCUCUACUUUCUACUUUAUUGUCACUUUUAUUGGUCUAUUAGGACUCUGAGUCUCAGACAGUAAUGUUAAUUUGAUAUGUAAAAAAAAGAUAGUGAGAAUAUAUUAAGGGGUGUUGUAGUACCAUGCUUGUAGUUGUUCGCAUUGUGGAAAAGGCGGAUCAAUCAGUAUUGUUGUGUUGAAUUUUGUCGUCAACGAUACACCUACGUUAACUACAUUAGAUAUUAAUAAGUUUGAAGUCGGAGAGGAAUUAUCAUUCAAAAUAAGUAUAUUAAGACUAAUAAGUCAUUACUGAACUUAAUCAACUAUUAGUUGAUCCAAACAUGCAUUGACAGGACCAUAUUAGGCAAAAUCAGCAUCACAAACAAAGAGUAUGUUCCAUUAGCAAGGGUCAAGGGAAGUAAAUAGCGUUCUAUAGAUCUAAAAGGAGGAGGAUAGAGGGAGAACAAAUUGUUCGCGGGUGAAACUUGCGAAAAAGCUUUGACGAAUGAUAUGUACAUAGUGAUAAUUCAAGUAGGAGAAGAAAAGAAGAACAACCAAAUGUUCACGUAUGAAUCUCGCGAAAAAGUAAUAGUUCAACUGUGUUUAAUUAUACCGAAGUUCUGCUCUUAGUAGGUUGUUAUUUCAGGUGACGAUAUCAUUCUGAGUUAGUUUUUUCUCACUGUAAUUGUAAUCAAUAAACAACCCUUUAGUUCUCUCUAUUUUCUUCUUCGCUGUCACUCUUAUUGGUCUAUUAGGACUCUUGAUUCUCAAACAUUAAGUAUGAUUUGUCCAGUGGUAUCCAGUAGAACAUAAAAGCAUUAGUAUUUCUCUUAUAAUACAUAGAUGGUAAUAGUAUGGGUAGCAAAAGAAAAAGAGAACUUCAGAACAACCAAUUGUUCACGUGUUAAACUAGCGAAAGAGUUAUUAAAAGUGAUACAUAGAUGUUGAUAGUUGAAACUAGCGAAAAAUUUAUAUGAACAACCAAAUGUCCACGCGUGACUCACGAAAAAGUAAUAGUUCAAUUGUGUUUGCUUCCAUUAUCUCUUCAAUUUACUUGUCAAAUGUGGAUCUGAUAAUCUAGGAACUUACGGACUUGAAUUGUAUGUAAUUAGAGUAGAAAAAAUUGAAGCUGUAAUAUUGACUUUGUUGACUGAAUCAUCUAUUCCUCACUGUUUUGUUUUUCGGGGUUUCUUGCUUUGCUGUGUUAGUGUUUUGCUCUAUAAAUAGAAAUUGUCCUUUUUCCUGGAUACCAAUUUUAUAUGCCACAAUGUUUGCUUGACCUAGAUUAUUACGUUGUGAUUGGUCCCUAGCAGCUGUCUAUCUAUGUCUAUGUAUGCUGAAAAGGAAGUUUCAAGUUGUAACCUCCAGUUUAUGUGACUUCUAUGUUGUUGGAAGUUCAUUAAAAAAAGGCCUGCUCAAUACAUGAGUGCAACAUAAUUCAACAAGAAAGGAGAGUUUUUUUAAAAUUUGCAGCACACGUUAAAGUGGCCAACCAGAAAGAACAACAAGCUCUUCUUCGUUAAAACCUUGUCUACUGAAGAGACAACUAGGUUGGGGAAUCAUCAUAGGCUGUAAGAUGUUAACCUAAUGUGUCAACAUAUAUAUUUGUGUGUGCCAUGAAUCUAUUAUUUGAACUUUUACCUUUUUGCUAUUUCCGUUGACCUGCCAUUUGACUUUUCUGCUAAUUAGAGUAAUUUUAGAAAUAAAAUCUUCGUUUAAAUUUUAGUUCUGACUGAUAUAAUGGAUGGUUACUUCACCUUCUGUAGGAUUUUGGAGCUCACAUUUCUCCAGCUAAGGAAACAAAGGCUAUUCUCUUCACUGACAAACGUAAGUUCCUCCAUUUCUGUGUUCUACAUAUUGGCUUAUAUUAAUAUACUGUGUUGUUCUUUAUUUUACCUAAGUUCCUCCAUUUUUCUACAUAUUUACUUAUAUUAAUAUACUGUUAUGGUCUUUGCACAGUUUCUACCAUGAUACAAAGGUCAACAAACUUUUCCAUAUAAUCACCUUCUCAGGGACAGCUAAACUCUUGACCUUUUUUGGCAGAUAACGACACCAGACCACUUUUGUUGAUUCAUUUCAAAAUCCAACUUCAACAGCCCUACGUGCAACUGUAACAUUAACAUCUGUUUUUUCUCUUUCACAGCAAGCUUUUUGUAUAACCUUGCACAAAAGUUAUGUAAUAUAUUUAAAACAUAACGAUGCCUUCUUUAUUUUCACGUCGAUAUCAAACUGGCACGGGCACUCACCCCCUAGUCUUCUUCUUUUUUUUUGCUUACUCCACCCCCUAGUCGUCGUCAUCAUCAUCAUCAUCAUCAUCAUAUUUAGAAAUGGGAGUUUGAUGUACCAACACAGCUUUAACAAGUUGUACCAAAAGCUGUGGAUGGUACCUUAUACAUGGGCCUUCAUCUUUUCCCUGUUGACACGUGUAUUGUUAUUUAGUUUGUAAGCAAAUCACGUGCACUCCUGAACACAGCCACAAAAAUUGUACUAUGUGCUGGGAUAUUUUAGUCAUUGAAUAAAAGUUUUAAUAUUCCAGCCAAGUAGUAUGUAUGUGUCCCUGUUUUCUCUACUCUUUUCCUAUUUAAUUUACGAAAUCAAAAUCAACCUCUUCCUCCAAAACUCUUCAUCAAGUAUUUAUCUUUAUUUGCUCCUGUUUGGCUUGGGAUUUGAUUUAUCUAUUUUUUUUGUCGAUUUCUUUUUCAGAGGUUUCAAUUUUGGUUCGAAUUUUUCUCCCUGAUCACUAAUGGGUAGGUAGUAUUGCUUUGACGAUUUUGCCUCUUCUCUCCCAAAACAAUUCAAUGGCUGAAAUUUUAUGUUUUCGCGUCACUACUAAUUUAGUAACUUUAGAAGAUAUGAAUUCUGUAAUGAUUAUUCUACAAUUAGUUGUGUCUACUCAUGCAUGUUUUGUUUUGAAUAUUUGGUGUCAAAUUUCUUGAUUCCUAAAAGGACGUUUUUGGAGAGGUCAGCGAGGUUUUGGAGAUCAGAGAAGAUUGCAGUGGGUAUUGUUCUAGGGUUUUUUGGUGUUCUCUUUCGUUCUCCAUCAUUGUUGGCCUUCGGAUUUUUUUAAACUGAUUUUGUAUAUGCAUGUACUCAUUCACUAUUUUGUGUCAAUUGCAUAGUCCUUACUAAGAAGAAUCGAACAUGCUCUCUGAGUAAAAUUUUCACAAGUUAGUAAUGGAUUCAUGUUGUGUCAAUUAUUUUGAUUGCCUUUCGAUUAAUUUGUAAUCUAAAUUAUAGUUGGCUUUGCCCGUUUUAGUAAGGUAAUUUAUUCUAAUUUCAAAGAUUUAAGUUUACAGGGAAAAAAAUAUUGAGCUUGUAGUAGGGGAAACAAAGCUGAUGAAACUCGAGGUGUGAAAGUGUCACUCAACACCAUCGGUAAGUUAAUGAAAUUCUAUGUUCCGCAAUAGGAGAGAACAUGUAAUACGUUUAUAUUUAUCAAGCUUCUUCUCGAGUAUUUUAUGCUAUGAUAAGUUCUUUUUUCCUUGUAGAAAACAAAAAGAAAAUAUUUGCUUAUUGUUUCAUUCUUGACCUUUAAUAUGAUAUCUAGAGUUCUUCAUUUUCAUUUCCAUUAUUACCGUAAUGACAACAAUAAAAUUGUAGCUUAGACUUUUGUUGCUAGACUAUUUACAUGAUUGAAUAAUUCAAUAUAUAGCCCAAAAUGGAGGACAAAAAAAGGGAAGGGAAAUGGCACUUCAUGACAGUCUAUUGAUGUUGAAAUUUUCUCAGUUUCUUAUUUUUUUUUUAUAUAUAAAGUCCUUUGGUUUACAUUUCAUUGUUGAAUAUUUAUUUAUUCUGCCAAUUGCUCCAACAGACCUCAAGCAGCAUGUUGAUCUUCAUCAGUUAAUGCUUCCCUAUCUCGAAAAUUGUAUCUAUAUUUCGGAGAAGUAGUGGUAAGGCCUGUGCACACUCUACCUUCUUCAGAUUCCACUUUGUGAGAUUUCACUAGGUAUGUUGUUGUUGUUGUUGGUCACUUCAUCACUUUUCUCUAUUACUUCCAGUUCUUUUAUGCAUCUACAUAUGGGAUGUAUCAUCUUACGCUCUCCAUAUGAUGUAGUUCAUUUCCUUUGUUACCACAACACCAUCAAGUCUUCUGUCAAGGAAAUAAGGUGGCAAAUAAAUUACAUAAGCCAACGUCGGAAUGUCACUGAAUUGAGUAGUAUAGGCAAAUAGCAACCUAUGAGACGACGCAACCUAAUAACAAACACGGUUGGUCAACUAUAAAGUUUCAGGUUAGGUAGUAUACACUGAACAUCUUACUUUAUUAUUUUCUCACCCUGUUAAAUUGUAAUCUUUAUCCAUUAUACCUCAACAUUUUGAUUAAUUAGAUCGAAGCAUAUUAGUUCAUGUGAGAUGUUUGAUUAUUAUGUUUGAAUAAGGUUAAUAUGUUGAUAUUCAAACAUAUUAAGUUAUUUGAGAUGUUAUUCUGUUUGUGCAUUUCAAGUUCACUUUUUCCGACUUAAUUUUGAAUUUUUUUGAGUAUUUGGUGUAAAUAUGAGAUUCAUAUGAAAGGUAUUCUCUUCUACUGUAUGAAAGACUCUAAGACCCGAUGAGUCAUCUGCUUCUUCAGUUUAGUAGAAAUUCUUUCAUGCUAUUGCAUGAAACAUUUGCCUGGUCUCUUAUUGCUAUCUGAACUAGCUUGAAAAGUAUGGUUGCUCUCUUCUUUUCUGUUGAUCCUUAUCGAGAAUUUCCUCCUUUUUCCACUCUGCCCUGAAGAUUACCUAUAUAGGCUUCACAACCAUCCCUGCUUGCAUUUUUAUAAAAAGAUCAAUAGUGGUUGUCAAGCAUCUCCCCAAUACAUUUGUAUUACCCACCAAACAAGAAAAUAUUUCUAACAUAUUUAUUAUAUUUGGUUUCCAAUUGUCUUUGGCAAGGCCAACAAGUUAAAUUAAUUGAUGAUUCCUCUGUGGUUCAGCUUGAUUCUCUUAUCUGAACCUUGAGUGAGAUUUAAUAACAAUUUUCCAAUUGUCGACUUUCAUAUAUGUUUCUUAUAUUCUUCUUUGUCCUGCUUCAUGUUUUCCAAUUGCAGGGAGAAUUCUGAUUUUUGUUACUCUAGGUUGAAACUUAGUGUUCUUGAAUCUCACAAAUUUAAUAGGUAUAGCAUAUUAGUCAUAUGAAUUGAAGCUAACAUAAUUAUUGGUUACUCUUUAGGAUGAUGAUAAUCCUUCUUUGUCAAAUGCUUACAUGGCGUCCAAAAAUUUUCAAAUUCUGAAUUUUAUAGUUAUUCUACCAUCUAUUAUUGCGAGAGAUGGGACUUGAGGAUCACUGCAUUAAACAUGAGAAGUGGCUGACAUGUUUGAGCCAGGUGUGGCACCAAAUGCUAUAACAAGGAUGUCACUAACAUUGAAGAGUUCUCUUACUAUUUUGGAGCUAUUAAUGCAAGGUAAACAAAUGGAUAGGAAACGUGGCAGAAGGCUGAAAUUAGAUAUGUUACAUGUAAAUUUCUUUUUUUCCAGAUUAAGGACAAUUAUGUAAUUUUCUUUUUCCAAUUUCUAUUUUUGCUUGCCGCAUGUUUCCAAAGAUCCACACAGUGGAUCUAAAAACUUCCACAUCUUUUAUUCUCAAAAUCCUACUUUUAUGUUCCAUGAAGAACAACAGCUUCAUUUCAUCCCAAUUUUAGAAAGGUUUGCUCCUUACAACAACAAGGAAAGGGUACAUCUCAUUUCCCGUGUUUUCUCUUCAUGGAUAUUGUGGGUUUUCUUUUCAAUCUCAAUUGUUGCUUCUUAGAUUUGCUAAACUUUCUUACUGGUGGUGCGUUUUUGGCUUGAUUUGCUGGGUUUAUGUGUUAUUCAAUGUUUUCUUUUCUAUCCUAAAUUACCACCUUCUACUUGGAGUCAAUUUUUAUUUAUUUUGUUUUUUAAUUUAUGUGUGAACGUCACUUGCUGGAUUUGCACGCGAGCUGCUAUUUGUUGGGAGUUUCGACGAACAAUAGGAAAACAAAAGGUGCUGCUUUCUUUUCUAGCCUAUUUUGCUUUCUUUCAUGAUUUUUCCCUCUAAUAUUAAAACAGCUGGAAAACAUUUGGUUGCCAUGUACUUAGUUUACUGCCUUCAAUUGUUCUAAUCUAUUGGUCUUAUUUCUCCUCUUUAAUUUGUUAUAUAUUUAAAAAAAAUACUUCAACGGUGCUAUAAACUACAAUAAUUUAACAAUUUAAAAUAGAACAUAAGUAUGUAUGUCAGUACAUCUUAUUUGUUUCUUCUCGCAUAUGUUACUUGUAAUUUACUUUCCUUCUCUACCUAUUGGUUAAAUUUUACUUUCUCUUAUUUAUGUGAUCUGUGGAUGUUUUCAUAUGCAUAAUAAAUCUUUACAGCAAUAACAUCAAUUUCCCAAAACAAAUAGAUAAGUAUUGGAAAAGAAAAUGAUCAAUAUGCUAUAGCUGAGAACAAAGAGCUUUUGCAAGUCUUUAUUUUUGUCUUUUAAAUGAGUUGAUCUUUAAUUUAAGUCAAUAGCUAAAAGAACUUAUACCUACAUAAAAUAAGUUAGUUUGUUGGAUCUGGAUCAAUUUGUUGUCAUUUAAGUGCAAUUUGAACUGAGACAGACAGAUCAUUGUUCCCUAACUCUAAAGCUUUCAAGUAAGAACACUCCCCUAUGCUUGCAGAGAUACUUCCUGUUAGCUUAUUGUCUGAUAGAUUAAUGACUUCAAGAAGAGUUACCUUUAGUAUUUCUAAUUCAUAAACAAAACUUCUAAUCUUUGUUUUUAACUGUAGUAGUGUAAGUUUGGUUGCACUUUCAUGACUAUACCAUCUUACUUUUCGUGGCCUACUAUGAGAUCAUGUAUCGCAAGGUGAAAGAAAUUUAGACUCACAUUUACUUUUAGUAUUUUUUAAUUCAAACACAAGACUUCCAACAUUUAGCUUUAACUUGAGUAACUGUUUUGUUAGCUUUAACUAGAGUAAUUGUUUCAUGCAUGUGUAAAGCACAAUGCAGUUUCAAGAUUCAAUACUCUAAAUCAAGAAAUAGAAAGCUGGUAAAGAUUAGCUUAAAUGUUCAUUCUACAUCUAUGAAUGCUCUACGAUAUGCUAUCCUAAGUUCUAUGUUCUAUCAAUUGGCUUAAAAUUGUAUAUAUGUCUCGUGAUAUAUGAUAAAAGAGAGAACACUAACAUAGACUUGAGCACUUAGCAUCUGACUGUACCAAGUGAGGUUAAUUACAUGAAGGGGGUCUACUUGAAAUAUUUUUUUAACUGGCAAGAAGAAGACACCUUUCUUAAUUCUCAUAUUUACUUGUGUGACAUUGUUACUCCCAGGAAAUACUCGAAAACUGUAGUCAAUAGAUGGUGCUUCUAUAUCAGCAAGUAUUUUCUUUUUAAACAUUUUUUAAUGAUAAUUUUAGUAGCUCUAAGUCCAAUAAAUCAAAUAUAAGUCUUAUACAAUGUCUAAGUGGAAAUACUAGAAAGGUAGCAACUAUGUCCUCGAAUAUAUGAGUACAUACCAAGCUUCUUGAGCAGAGUCAAUAUCCCAAGCUUCCUCAAAAGAUCUCUUCACUUUCCACCACCAACACUUGUAACAAUAGAGAAAAUAUGGAAUUAGUACAAUAAUUACUAAGUAUGAUGACCAUGCAAGAAAACAUGCACAACGGACAUUUACAAGAAAUGUUUGCUUUUAAGACCUUUGUAUUGCGCACAUUGGUUUAAUUUGUCAUCAUUUAUUUUUUCUCAUUUCAGGUAUAAGAAUGACCCAGUUGCCCUAGAAAAAUUUAUGUGAAGCAAGAUGUUUUGUUAUUAGUGGACUGAAGUCUUUGGCAUUAAUGAAAUGGUGAAGCAUUGUUCACCAGUGUAGUGUGCACUGCAGACAAUGUGGAGGUGACUUUUUGAGAAGGACAUGUAUUAGGUCUUAACCAUAGAACACCCUUUCCUUUUGACAUUCUGGUCUACCUUGUGUCAUACAUAGACCCAGUGUAGUUUUUGUUCACUAUGCACCGUCUUUUGGUUAUUCCCAUAUAUGUAUUUCUGUUCAGUAUGGAUAGAACGUUGCAGUAGAUAAACUCACUACAUUUCUUCUUUUGGUCUCUUGUGUUUGGUGUUCAAAAAGAACCUAUAAACAUUACUAUCUAGACAGAAUAUUACUGAAGUGUCUAAAGUUAUCAGGGCAG